Molecule: long non-coding RNA, 780 nt
Organism: Panicum virgatum (switchgrass)
Lineage: Eukaryota; Viridiplantae; Streptophyta; Magnoliopsida; Poales; Poaceae
Exons: 2
Source: RefSeq, a predicted model, not a curated record
AGUCAUUCCUUAGUCAUUCCCCGAGAGUCCGAGACCCCGACACCCGCGCCUCUGACGCCUCCCUCCCAGCCUCCCUCCACCUCUGACGCCUCCCUCCCUCCACCCUCUCCUCCAGGCAACCUCAGCGCCUCAGCCGCUUGCGCUCGCCCGCACCGGGCCUCCGGCGCUCCCUUCCCUCCCUGAGCUCCCUGCCUCCCUCCAUCCUCCCUUCAUCUCCGCGCAUCCGCGGGCCGGGGCUCCGCCCCCUCCAGCCGGCGGAGCUGCAGAUCCGGCCGACAGAGCUGCAGAUCUGGGCAUCCGGCCGGCUCUUCGGCCGAUCUGGCCCGGGUUAGUGCGGCCGGCGCGACGGAAGCCAGCGGGCACGGCGGCGGCAAGCGAGGCGAGCCAGCGGGCGCGGUUGUGGGGCAGGCGCAGAAGCGCAGCAUGGCGAAGCUCAAGCCAAAGGCGUUGCUGGCACAAAGCAAAGUGAAGAAGGUCCCUAGCCAAAUCAGUGUGAUCACGAUCUUCACCUACUUGGUCCUCGGUGUCGUAGUCGUGUCCUCUGUUUAUGCUGCUUACAAAUACUGGGUAGGCAACGGACCAGCAGUGACAGCAGCAGGCGUGGAGGGGAACUAAACCCCCAAACUAUGUAACUGAUUUUGUUGUUGUAUCAUCCAGUUGGAUAAUUUUGGUUGCUGCAGCCCAGUAAACGGAAUAUGGAUAGAUUGUAUCUUGCUACAGUUUUACUGUAAACCUUGGGUACAUUAUAUUGAUAUAUGUAUGCUAAAUUUCUUUCCUCCA